This 88-nucleotide transfer RNA is filed under the name SAR324 cluster bacterium. Its description in RNAcentral is "tRNA-Ser". It matches the Rfam family "tRNA". Rfam says of the family: Transfer RNA (tRNA) molecules are approximately 80 nucleotides in length. Their secondary structure includes four short double-helical elements and three loops (D, anti-codon, and T loops). Further hydrogen bonds mediate the characteristic L-shaped molecular structure. tRNAs have two regions of fundamental functional importance: the anti-codon, which is responsible for specific mRNA codon recognition, and the 3' end, to which the tRNAs corresponding amino acid is attached (by aminoacyl-tRNA synthetases). tRNAs cope with the degeneracy of the genetic code in two manners: having more than one tRNA (with a specific anti-codon) for a particular amino acid; and 'wobble' base-pairing, i.e. permitting non-standard base-pairing at the 3rd anti-codon position. The record is from RNAcentral. RNAcentral also lists the same sequence under 1 other name. Lineage: Bacteria; Deltaproteobacteria.
GGAGAGAUGACUGAGAGGCCGAAAGUGGCAGAUUGCUAAUCUGUUGUAGGGGUUAACCCUACCGAGGGUUCGAAUCCCUCUCUCUCCG